Molecule: unclassified non-coding RNA, 201 nt
Filed under: Hevea brasiliensis (rubber tree)
Lineage: Eukaryota; Viridiplantae; Streptophyta; Magnoliopsida; Malpighiales; Euphorbiaceae
Source: RNAcentral
CCUUGACGGAUGUGGGUGUCAACUAAGUGCCUGCGGUUUCAUGGCUUGGUGAUCAAACCGGCCUUCUACGUUGGCAAUGUGUUCUACACACUUUACGUUUUCUGCUUUUUCUUUAAAUAUCGAUAGUUGGCUGCUUGUUUGCGAAUUCUUUUCUUUGAAUAUUGGAUCAUGUUUAGGAAAAUAAAAAAUAUUACGCAAAAU